Molecule: ribosomal RNA, 323 nt
Filed under: uncultured eukaryote
Lineage: Eukaryota
Description: partial 18S ribosomal RNA
Rfam family: Eukaryotic small subunit ribosomal RNA
Source: RNAcentral
CCCCUAGAUGUUCUGGGCCGCACGCGCGCUACACUGAACAGUUCAACAAGUCUUAACCUUGGCCGAUAGGUCUGGGUAAUCUUUGAACGCUGUUCGUGAUUGGGAUAGACCUUUGCAAUUAUGGGUCUUCAACGAGGAAUUCCUAGUAAACGCAAGUCAUCAGCUUGCAUUGAUUACGUCCCUGCCCUUUGUACACACCGCCCGUCGCACCUACCGAUUGAAUGGUCCGGUGAAUUAUUCGGACUGCAACGCGUUCAGCUUCUGGAUGCAGUUGCGGAAAGUUUUGUAAACCUUAUCACUUAGAGGAAGGAGAAGUCGUAACA